RNAcentral lists this ribosomal RNA (1074 nucleotides) under Burkholderia cenocepacia. RNAcentral describes it as "partial 23S ribosomal RNA". It matches the Rfam family "Bacterial large subunit ribosomal RNA", at positions 95 to 1215 of the family's 2925-position model. The record is from RNAcentral. Lineage: Bacteria; Pseudomonadati; Pseudomonadota; Betaproteobacteria; Burkholderiales; Burkholderiaceae.
AGCUUUGAUCCGUAGAUGUCCGAAUGGGGAAACCCACUCCUUUUGGAGUAUCCAUGGCUGAAUACAUAGGCCAUGCGAAGCGAACGCGGUGAACUGAAACAUCUAAGUAACCGCAGGAAAAGAAAUCAACCGAGAUUCCCAAAGUAGUGGCGAGCGAAAUGGGAUGAGCCUUGCACUCUUUAUUUGUAUUGUUAGCCGAACGCUCUGGAAAGUGCGGCCAUAGCAGGUGAUAGCCCUGUAGGCGAAAACAGUAUGAAAGAACUAGGUGUGCGACAAGUAGGGCGGGACACGUGAAAUCCUGUCUGAAGAUGGGGGGACCAUCCUCCAAGGCUAAAUACUCGUGAUCGACCGAUAGUGAACCAGUACCGUGAGGGAAAGGCGAAAAGAACCCCGGGAGGGGAGUGAAAUAGAUCCUGAAACCGCAUGCAUACAAACAGUCGGAGCCUCGUAAGGGGUGACGGCGUACCUUUUGUAUAAUGGGUCAGCGACUUACGUUCAGUAGCAAGCUUAACCGUAUAGGGCAGGCGUAGCGAAAGCGAGUCCGAAUAGGGCGUUCAGUUGCUGGGCGUAGACCCGAAACCAGGUGAUCUAUCCAUGGCCAGGAUGAAGGUGCGGUAACACGUACUGGAGGUCCGAACCCACUAACGUUGAAAAGUUAGGGGAUGAGCUGUGGAUAGGGGUGAAAGGCUAAACAAACCUGGAAAUAGCUGGUUCUCUCCGAAAACUAUUUAGGUAGUGCCUCGUGUCUCACCUUCGGGGGUAGAGCACUGUCAUGGUUGGGGGGUCUAUUGCAGAUUACCCCGCCAUAGCAAACUCCGAAUACCGAAGAGUGCAAUCACGGGAGACAGACAUCGGGUGCUAACGUCCGGUGUCAAGAGGGAAACAACCCAGACCGCCAGCUAAGGUCCCCAAAUAUAGCUAAGUGGGAAACGAAGUGGGAAGGCUAAAACAGUCAGGAGGUUGGCUUAGAAGCAGCCACCCUUUAAAGAAAGCGUAAUAGCUCACUGAUCGAGUCGUCCUGCGCGGAAGAUGUAACGGGGCUAAGCUAUAUACCGAAGCUGCGGAUGCGUGCUU